UCAUACAGAGCCACACCUCCUUUUUGAGGAAUUUUAACUUUCUAUAUAACUAAUCAUGUCAAGACAUUUAUGACCUCUCCUCCCUUUAGCUCUCCUGGAACCUUGUUUAUACGUCUUCAUCUUUUCUAGACAAGAUGGUCUAGCCUUUGGUUCCCUAAGGCCUGUCCUCUAAAUUGUGAUUUUCAUGCCCUUCCUGAUAGUGAUUGUCUUGCUGCCUUUCCUUAGGCUGACUUCAUCUGGAAAGCCAAAGGUCCUUUCAAAGUCAGAUCCUUUUCUUGGUUAGUGAUUUGUAAUAAAAGGGUAAACACUAAUAAUAUGUCGCAGAUUAGGGGCUCUAUCUAGCUCUCUAUCCUUAGUAUGCGUUAUAGGCUCGAAGUUCAGAUAUGUGGUGGAUUUUCUCUUAUUUCAUUGCCUUGUCACCUGGGUUUAUGGAACAAACUUCUUCCAGUUAGCAAUUCUGUCUGGGUUCCCAUUGUAGGUAUUAUCGAUCUAAUACACUUUACUUUCAGAGGUUUCAGAGUAGUUCAAGAGGUGGAAUGUUAUAUCAUUAAAUCACGCAUGAUAUUGUGUGGGUUAUUUGGUUGUAGAGGACUGUCAGCAUCUUCUAAGACAAAUUGAACCCCCCAGAAUCUGUCAGACACCAUACACCUACUUCUCUUUUAGAGGUAGUUUCCUUAGAGUUUAGUGAUGUUCAUGUUAGCUUUGAUUCAGCUUAGGUAUG
This 721-nucleotide long non-coding RNA is filed under the name Vitis vinifera (wine grape). RNAcentral's name for it is "long non-coding RNA (VVIN_LNC001246)". The record is from RNAcentral. Lineage: Eukaryota; Viridiplantae; Streptophyta; Magnoliopsida; Vitales; Vitaceae.